CUGAGUUUGAUCCUGGCUCAGAACGAACGCUGGCGGCAGGCCUAACACAUGCAAGUCGAACGGAUCCUUUAAGGAUUAGUGGCAGACGGGUGAGUAACGCGUGGGAAGCUACCUUGUGGUAGGGGACAACAGUUGGAAACGACUGCUAAUACCCUAUGAGCCCUAUGGGGGAAAGAUUUAUCGCCAUGAGAUGUGCCCGCGUUAGAUUAGCUAGUUGGUAAGGUAAUGGCUUACCAAGGCGACGAUCUAUAGCUGGUCUGAGAGGAUGAUCAGCCACACUGGGACUGAGACACGGCCCAGACUCCUACGGGAGGCAGCAGUGGGGAAUAUUGGACAAUGGGGGCAACCCUGAUCCAGCCAUGCCGCGUGUGUGAUGACGGCCUUAGGGUUGUAAAGCACUUUCAGCAGUGAAGAUAAUGACAUUAA
This 426-nucleotide ribosomal RNA is filed under the name alpha proteobacterium 1213. RNAcentral's name for it is "bacterial SSU rRNA". It matches the Rfam family "Bacterial small subunit ribosomal RNA", at positions 1 to 460 of the family's 1533-position model. Lineage: Bacteria; Pseudomonadati; Pseudomonadota; Alphaproteobacteria. The record is from RNAcentral.